UACGUAGGUGACCAGCGUUGUCCGGAUUUACUGGGCGUAAAGAGCACGCAGGCGGUCGUUCAAGUCGAGUGUGAAAGCCCCGGGCUCAACCUGGGAAUGGCGAUGGAUACUGGCUCGCUAGAGUGCGGUAGAGGAGAGUGGAAUUCCCGGUGUAGCAGUGAAAUGCGUAGAGAUCGGGAGGAACAUCAGUUGCGAAGGCGGCUCUCUGGACCAGCACUGACACUGAGGCACGAAAGCGUGGGGAGCAAACAGG
This 253-nucleotide ribosomal RNA is filed under the name uncultured bacterium. RNAcentral's name for it is "partial 16S ribosomal RNA". It matches the Rfam family "Bacterial small subunit ribosomal RNA", at positions 524 to 776 of the family's 1533-position model. The record is from RNAcentral.